Molecule: ribosomal RNA, 119 nt
Filed under: Njinella prolifera
Lineage: Eukaryota; Ciliophora; Oligohymenophorea; Astomatida; Anoplophryidae
Description: 5.8S ribosomal RNA
Rfam family: 5.8S ribosomal RNA
About the family: 5.8S ribosomal RNA (5.8S rRNA) is a component of the large subunit of the eukaryotic ribosome.
Source: RNAcentral
AAAAAUUUUCAACGGUGGAUAUCUUGGUUCCCAUUUCGAUGAAGAACGCAGCAAACUGCGAUAAGCAAUGCGAAACGCAGGACUUCGUGAGUCAUCAGAUCUUUGAACGCAACUUGCGC